RNAcentral lists this long non-coding RNA (310 nucleotides) under Volvox carteri. Its description in RNAcentral is "long non-coding RNA (VCAR_LNC000556)". The record is from RNAcentral. Lineage: Eukaryota; Viridiplantae; Chlorophyta; Chlorophyceae; Chlamydomonadales; Volvocaceae.
CAAGGGAUGGGGAUGGGACCCUGGCUGACAGCUUUCGGUUGUGAACACAGCUGCAUGAUGAGGAUGGCCCUGGUCGAAGGGAUGGGAAGGGAUACUAGCUGACAGGAUGAGGAUUGCGGGGACACAGCUGCAGGAUGGGAUUGGAAACCCUGGCCAAAGGGAUGGGGGAUGGGACCCUGGCUGCCAGGAUGGGAAACCUGUCUCGAGGGAUGGGAUUAGCGCCGGCCCGGCCCUUAAAAUGGGAGAUCGGAGUCGAUCACCCCAGCCAGGAUGGGAGGAUGGCUGACCACUACCACCCCCCAGGAUUGGG